GAGCGGUAACAUUUCUAGCUUGCUAGAAGAUGACGAGCGGCGGACGGGUGAGUAAUACUUAGGAAUCUACCUAGUAGUGGGGGAUAGCUCGGGGAAACUCGAAUUAAUACCGCAUACGACCUACGGGAGAAAGGGGGCAACUUGUUGCUCUCGCUAUUAGAUGAGCCUAAGUCGGAUUAGCUAGAUGGUGGGGUAAAGGCCUACCAUGGCGACGAUCUGUAGCUGGUCUGAGAGGAUGAUCAGCCACACCGGGACUGAGACACGGCCCGGACUCCUACGGGAGGCAGCAGUGGGGAAUAUUGGACAAUGGGGGAAACCCUGAUCCAGCCAUGCCGCGUGUGUGAAGAAGGCCUUUUGGUUGUAAAGCACUUUAAGCAGUGAAGAAGACUCUUCGGUUAAUACCCGGAGACGAUGACAUUAGCUGCAGAAUAAGCACCGGCUAACUCUGUGCCAGCAGCCGCGGUAAUACAGAGGGUGCAAGCGUUAAUCGGAAUUACUGGGCGUAAAGCGAGCGUAGGUGGCUUGAUAAGUCAGAUGUGAAAUCCCCGGGCUUAACCUGGGAACUGCAUCUGAUACUGUCAGGCUAGAGUAGGUGAGAGGAAGGUAGAAUUCCAGGUGUAGCGGUGAAAUGCGUAGAGAUCUGGAGGAAUACCGAUGGCGAAGGCAGCCUUCUGGCAUCAUACUGACACUGAGGCUCGAAAGCGUGGGUAGCAAACAGGAUUAGAUACCCUGGUAGUCCACGCCGUAAACGAUGUCUACUAGUCGUUGGGUCCCUUGAG
RNAcentral lists this ribosomal RNA (779 nucleotides) under Psychrobacter sp. Y4_330_2. RNAcentral's name for it is "bacterial SSU rRNA". It matches the Rfam family "Bacterial small subunit ribosomal RNA", at positions 64 to 836 of the family's 1533-position model. The record is from RNAcentral. Lineage: Bacteria; Pseudomonadati; Pseudomonadota; Gammaproteobacteria; Moraxellales; Moraxellaceae.